GUAGUGGUAGUUCAUUGGUAGAAUGCUCGCCUUCCAUGCAGGAGGCCCAGGUUCAAAUUCUCUGCCAGUGCA
Molecule: transfer RNA, 72 nt
Filed under: Loxodonta africana (African savanna elephant)
Lineage: Eukaryota; Metazoa; Chordata; Mammalia; Proboscidea; Elephantidae
Rfam family: tRNA
About the family: Transfer RNA (tRNA) molecules are approximately 80 nucleotides in length. Their secondary structure includes four short double-helical elements and three loops (D, anti-codon, and T loops).
Source: Rfam by way of RNAcentral